UUUUAUUUGAUUCUCAUCAUAAGUCUAUGAGGUGGACAAGGAGAUAUUGUUUGCUCAUUUAGCUGAUGACAAAUUACAUGCAUAUUUAAUCAAGAUAGAAAAAUCUUGAUUCUCCCUUGGCAAAGCUGAACUAAGGAUAGAUUAAAUACAUGCUGCACUGCCCCAAAGACCAGAUAAAACCCUGCAGCUGUCAUUACCCAGACAAGGGAGGCAAAGCCAGGAUGAUUCUGCCCUGGAUUUUGUGAACUGUGUCAAUCCAUUCCCUUUGCUUUGGGAGUGGUAUAUUGCUCUGGGAAUCACUGACAAUAUGGGAGGAGAAAUAAAAACAAGCUUCUUGAUUUCCAGUUCUGAUCUCUGAGCGCUAGAGGACAGUAUUGUUCUCUGCACAGCGCGCGGAGAACCCGUUCUAGGAGAAGUGAUGGGACCCCCGCAGUCAGUAUACCCCACACCUUCCCAGGCUGGGCCUGGGCCAUACGGAUCAGGGAUGGGAUGUGGCUUUGCAUCUCCAGUUCCAGAUGGCAUCUCGUUCCCCAGCCCUGUGCAUUCACAGAGCUUUGGCCUCUGUACUGAGUAGCGUGGGAUGUAUGAGGGGAAAGAGACAGUCUGUUCAUUUACAUGUUCUGCGUUGGGGUUUCAUUACGUCUUUUAGCCCUUGAAACCUCUUCCUAAGUGAUAAGCUAUCAAUGAGUGAUUGUUAUCAUAGGCUCAGAGAUUUUUCAGCCUGAUUUAUUUAAACUCUAGAGAAAGGAAAACAGGAGAUGAUGGCUUUGAUCAUGCUAUUUGCUAUUCUGAAAAUUACAAAGGGAGGGGAGAGAGAGAAAAAAAAUCUCUGCUCCCCUAAUGAACUACUAUAUAAAAACUGCUAUAUAAGAAGAUACGCGGUGCGAUCCCCAGUGUAACGUACUUCACUGAUGUUCAACAUGCUUCCGUGGGCGUGUGUGGGUGGAAAGAUGUUUCUUGUUACUGCCAAACAAUCCAGUGUUUCUAGAGAUAAAAACAGCCUGUAAAAGUUUUCUACUGUGGAGAAUGACAGGCUUUGUGGCCUAUGUGAUAUGUGCUCUCUAUAGUCCAGAUGAAGACAGUAACUACUGAUCUGUGAAACCUCUGCAACACAACGGGGCUGCUCACGGCCACACGCCUGGCCUCACAGGUGACGCCUUCGCCCUCCUCUGGGUUCCCUGUUUCUCCCUCCUCCGAACUGAGCAUCUGUCUUCUUCUGACAAGUACUUUCUGCUACCUUGUGCUUCAAGUCAAUUUCUAGAGACACCAGAUAGAUUUCAAUUCUGUAAAGAUUUACUACGAAUCACACAGUGCUGGACGACGUGCUAACACAUAUUCACAUAUGAUGCUGGCUCCAGAGCUCAGUAAGCUGAGCACCUCCAACAUCCCCCUCACAGCCAUGGCCUGUCCUGCAGGUGCUGGUUUCUGCUGCAGACACAGGCUCUCCAGGCAGCCCUGUGCUCUUUGCAGCUAUUCCUGGAAGCCUUGGGACGUCUCACCGAUGCCCUCCAUGUUCGGUUCUGCACACCUGCCCUUCUACGAGUCUCUUCUCUCAACGCCUCCUUACCCGGUUGCUGUCCAUAUUGCAGAAGAGGGCAGGGCCCAGGGAGCUGAAUCCCGGCAAGUCCACGCUGCUGAGCUCCCAAGACCUUCAGUAAAGUAGGAUUGUCUCUUUCACACCUAGCCCUGCAUCCACCGCCAUCGACCCAGGGUAAGGACCAGCACAUGAAGGCCAAACUCCUUCCCUCGUUUCCCUUUACACCCAUGUCUGCCUGUGAGAAGCCCUGGCUCAUUCUCCUUCAGCCACAGGCCUCAGGAAGUCUCCUCCCUAGCGGUUGUCUCAGGCACUCUGGGUUCCAGCAUGGCCUACGUGAAGCCUUCCUUAAAAGUGACAGCGCAGGACGUCCCCACUCAGGAAGCUCACACUCACGACUGUGCCUCUUCCUACACUCAGUAGAGUAAACUGUUUACAGUAGAUGCUGACCAAGUGUUAGGUGAGAGUGGUGACGAUGAGUGUGGAAAUCUGCCUUAAUUUUAUGAGUUACCAACCUGUCAUUGACUUCAUGUUCAUUCUGGCAAGAGCUAAGAGAGAUACUAUUGAGUAUUUUAACACAGACUUCACUUGCUUGGGUGAACUGUAGACAGAAUCCAUCUUUAAUGACCUAUUUCUGUUACUGAACUGAACUGGUGUCUGCUCUCCUGUGGGGUGAGGCCAAACAUCCACACCGUGGUUUGCAGCAGGGGAAAGCAAGGUGUUUAUUUGCAGGAUGCCAAGGAAAGAGAAUUGGGCAGCUUACAAUUGAGACCUGACCUCUCGGUGGCUUACAGGUUCUCUCUGCAGCUCUAGCACCUGGCAUCCUCAGACAUCUUCUUAAUACUCACGCAAGUUCUACAGAUGAGAAAAUGAGGCUUCAAAAGAUGAAGACCACACGAUGACUGAAUGGAUGGUGCUGAGUUAUAAUAGCAGUAUCUGUCAUGUAUGGGUUGCUUCCUAUGGGAUAAGCACAAUGAUGCCAUUUCAUUUUAUCCACUCAAUGGCAUACACUGGGAUAGCAUAACAAUAGAACACAUGGGACUCUGAAUUCUGCAGGCUAGGUUUAAUUCUGUUUCUGCUACAUAAUAGCAAAAGAGUUCAUCUUGAUUCUGCUACAUAAUAGCAAAACAGUUCAUCUUGAUUCUGCUACAUAAUAGCAAAACAGUUCAUCUUGCUUUAAGUCAUAAGUCACGGCUCCGAAAAGGACACCCCAAGUAUGGCCUUGACCUGCUGAGGACUUUGAACUAAAGGGCAUUGGAAAGCCUCAGAAGCAGCCUCAGAACCAAGUCUCUGACCUUCUCCUGCCCUCCUGUCUCUCGCCCCUCAUUCCCCCAAGAAGUGAGUCAUAGAAACCAGAAAUCCUCUUCCCUAAAGCAGGUCACGGAAACUAGAAUCUCUUUCCCCAAAGCCAGCCAUUAGAAACUAGAAUCACUACUGGAACUUUCCCUGCCUUUCUGAGUAAGAGCUGGCCAUAAAGAAGUUCUCUGACUUACUUUCCUGAAAGUAGGUUAUAAGACCCUCAUUCCAGAAGGGGCCCUGCCCUACACGCAGGAAGAAGGAACGCCACACAGGGAGGCCAAGAGGAACCCAGACAGGCCCAGCUGGGUCCCCCUCUGUCUGUCACUGUCCCAUCGCUCCCUCUGUGUCCAGUCACAGCUCCGCAGGGCUACCACUCUUCAUCAAAUCUAAGCAUAGAAAUGGGCAGUUUUCCCUUGGUUCUUUGGGUCUUCAUUUCCUAAGGCUCCCAUGUUAUGUAAAACUUUGAUUAAACAAAUCUGUGUGCUUUUCUCUUGUUAACCUGUCUUUUGUUACAGGAGAAUCGGCAGUGGCCCCUUAGCAUGGUGGCACACGUCUGUAAUCCCAGGUACUUGGGAGGCUGAGGCACGAGAAUCACUAGAACCUAGAAGGAGGAUGUUGCAGUGAGCUGAGAUUGCACCACUGCACUCCAGCCUGGGCAACAGAGCAAGACUCCCAUCUCAAAAAAAAAAUUAAAUUAAAUAAAAAUUAAAAAAAAUUAAAAC
This 3555-nucleotide long non-coding RNA is filed under the name Homo sapiens (human). RNAcentral's name for it is "HSALNT0082141". The record is from RNAcentral. Lineage: Eukaryota; Metazoa; Chordata; Mammalia; Primates; Hominidae.